CCGUUGUUUUCCUUUGGCCUUUGGUCUUCACUCUUGUCGUCACACCGCCUUUGCCAUCAAUAUACUCACCGGUGUGCCCCUCCCCCCUCCCCCACUGCCUGUGUCUCUCUGUGUGUUCGAGUGUGGCUCGCACUACCCCGCAGCACAGCGUUGCCUCCCGUUCCGCUUUCUUUUAUACACGCCGGGAUAGACAGGCUGCGUGCGCUGUCUAAGGCGCACCUCUUCUCUUCCAGCACACACACACACACACACACACACACACACACACACACACACACAAACAGACGCACCGGAUCGCACCUUUCACUUUCGCCCCUCCCCCCUCGCCUGCAGUUCAUUAUGCCAGCGAAACCCGCGCAGGAUUUCUUCUCCCUGGACGCGAACGGACAGCGCGAGGCACUCAUCAUUAUUAAGAAGCUGCAGUGCAAGAUUCUGUACAGCGACAAGUACUACGAUGAUGUGUUCGAGUACCGUCACGUGAUUCUCCCGAAGGAUCUUGCCCGCCUCGUCCCCACGAGCCGCCUCAUGAGUGAGAUGGAGUGGCGCCAGCUCGGCGUCCAGCAGUCGCAAGGGUGGGUGCACUACAUGAUUCACAAGCCAGAACCCCACGUGCUGCUCUUUAAGCGCCCUCGCACGUAAGGGGAGGUGUCCACCAGAGAGCGAGAGGGUACAAGACGCACAGUUGCAUGGGCGCGCCGGGAGGGUUGGCCAGGAGGUGAGGGCGCAAGGUGGGUGCGUCGCUCGACGAGAGGAAAGCAUGAAAGAGAAGGGACGAUAUUGCUUGCUUCCACGUAAACUGCGCAGACCUGCCAGUUCCAGCGCACACCAACGCCUUGCUGCCUCUUCCAUCUCCCGCUGCCGAUCCUAUCCUUCCAUCCUUCCUCUCUUCACCUCACUCUUCCCUCCGUCUGUAUCGUGUUGGCUCUCGUCAUGGCAAAUGAAGCCUAUCGUCUCCUCCCAUUAUGGUGCGCUGCAUGUUCUCUCAUUAGCCCCCCUCUCCACCGUCUUGCCUUUUCAUGGUGUUCCCGGACUGACAUGGAUCUGCCCAUGCCACGACAACCACAACUACCCCCCUCUCCAUCUGUCUUUCCGCACUCUUCCUUAUCUCCUUUUUUUUUUCCCGUCUGCCCGUCUCCCCGGCAUUAGAACGCAUAGAAUCGUUUUCUCCCUGUUGGUGUGCCGUGCUGCAUGCGCGCAUCACUCCUGCGUGCCGUCGUCUCCCUGUGCUGUGCUUCUUGCGACGAACGCCUGUCCCGUUUACUUGGCUUUGUGAUUGUGUCUGUGUUUUGCCCGUGCCUCUCUGUUGGUGUGACAGCUGAGGCGUGCGAUGGUGCGACGGCUUUUCUGUGGUUGUGUGCGUGCGUGUGAAGAAGGGUUGCAAGUCCACAGAACGAAGGUGGGCAGCGCUCCCUUGAAACAGACAUCAAGCAGACGCACUUCAGAGAGAAGAAGACGGCGCAAUAAAAGCGGUCACUCGCGGCCCUUCGCGCCGCGUCUCAAGCUCGAGGGAUGAGGACGAAGGGGCUGGGUCUGCAGCUGUUGCGUGCUCUGUGCCGGCGCGGAGGCAUUUCGCCCGUACCCACUUUUCACAUUUUGCACGGAGGUCACGAAUUGCCGCGUGGCUUUCCUGUGGGCCAGCUCCGACUGUGACAGGGCUGGACGGCAGGCGGUUCUGAUGAGUGAUUGUGUGUGUGUGUGUGUGCAUGUGUGCGGAGCCCGCUGUUGACCACGCACUUCAUCCUGAAGCCGUGCUCUUGUGUAAGGGACGAAAAAGGAAAGUUGCGCCUCGCGACACGUGCCCAUGCCCUCUGCAACGAUCCUUCUCUUGCGAUGUGGACAGUGCUCUCCCUUCCUUUUCUCUUUUUUUUUUGGCUGCUCAUCGUCCGCGUCGCGGCGCACGCCCUCCCUUUUCCCGCAUCCUUUCUCACCACAG
Molecule: unclassified non-coding RNA, 1933 nt
Filed under: Leishmania donovani
Lineage: Eukaryota; Euglenozoa; Kinetoplastea; Trypanosomatida; Trypanosomatidae
Description: gene:LdHU3.32.5070(CDS-product:cyclin-dependent_k inase_regulatory_subunit)
Source: RNAcentral